UACGGAGGAGGCAAGCGUUAUCCGGAAUUAUUGGGCGUAAAGCGUCCGUAGAUGGUCGUUUCAAGUCUGCUGUCAAAGACCGGGGCUUAACCCCAGAAAGGCAGUGGAAACUGAACAGCUAGAGAGAGGUAGGGGUAGAGGGAAUUCCCAGUGUAGCGGUGAAAUGCGUAGAUAUUGGGAAGAACAUCAGUGGCGAAAGCGCUCUACUGGACCUUAUCUGACAUUGAGGGACGAAAGCUAGGGGAGCGAAUGGG
This 254-nucleotide ribosomal RNA is filed under the name uncultured bacterium. RNAcentral's name for it is "partial 16S ribosomal RNA". It matches the Rfam family "Bacterial small subunit ribosomal RNA", at positions 524 to 776 of the family's 1533-position model. The record is from RNAcentral.